AAACGAUGUCGAUUUGGAGUUUGGGGGCAUGACCCUUGGGCUCCGGAGCUAACGCGUUAAAUCGACCGCCUGGGGAGUACGGCCGCAAGGUUAAAACUCAAAUGAAUUGACGGGGGCCCGCACAAGCGGUGGAGCAUGUGGUUUAAUUCGAUGCAACGCGAAGAACCUUACCUGGUCUUGACAUCCAUAGAAUCUUUCAGAGAUGAGAGAGUGCCUUCGGGAGCUAUGAGACAGGUGCUGCAUGGCUGUCGUCAGCUCGUGUUGUGAAAUGUUGGGUUAAGUCCUGCAACGAGCGCAACCCCUAUCCUUUGUUGCCAGCGCGUAAUGGUGGGAACUCAAAGGAGACUGCCGUUGAUAAAGCGGAGGAAGGUGGGGACGACGUCAAGUCAUCAUGGCCCUUACGACCAGGGCUACACACGUGCUACAAUGGCGUAUACAAAGGGAUGCGAAGGUGCGAACUGGAGCGGACCUCACAAAGUACGUCUAAGUCCGGAUUGGAGUCUGCAACUCGACUCCAUGAAGUCGGAAUCGCUAGUAAUCGUGAAUCAGAAUGUCACGGUGAAUACGUUCCCGGGCCUUGUACACACCGCCCGUCACACCAUGGGAGUGGGUUGCACCAGAAGUAGAUAGCUUAACCUUCGGGAGGGCGUUUACCACGGUGUGGUUCAUGACUGGGGUGAAGUCGUAACAAGGUAACCA
RNAcentral lists this ribosomal RNA (699 nucleotides) under uncultured Enterobacteriaceae bacterium. RNAcentral describes it as "bacterial SSU rRNA". It matches the Rfam family "Bacterial small subunit ribosomal RNA", at positions 804 to 1502 of the family's 1533-position model. Lineage: Bacteria; Pseudomonadati; Pseudomonadota; Gammaproteobacteria; Enterobacterales; Enterobacteriaceae. The record is from RNAcentral.